UGCAAGUAGAACGCUGAAGAGAGGAGCUUGCUCUUCUUGGAUGAGUUGCGAACGGGUGAGUAACGCGUAGGUAACCUGCCUUGUAGCGGGGGAUAACUAUUGGAAACGAUAGCUAAUACCGCAUAACAAUGGAUGACACAUGUCAUUUAUUUGAAAGGGGCAAUUGCUCCACUACAAGAUGGACCUGCGUUGUAUUAGCUAGUAGGUGAGGUAAUGGCUCACCUAGGCGACGAUACAUAGCCGACCUGAGAGGGUGAUCGGCCACACUGGGACUGAGACACGGCCCAGACUCCUACGGGAGGCAGCAGUAGGGAAUCUUCGGCAAUGGGGGCAACCCUGACCGAGCAACGCCGCGUGAGUGAAGAAGGUUUUCGGAUCGUAAAGCUCUGUUGUAAGUCAAGAACGGGUGUGAGAGUGGAAAGUUCACACUGUGACGGUAGCUUACCAGAAAGGGACGGCUAACUACGUGCCAGCAGCCGCGGUAAAUACGUAGGUCCCGAGCGUUGUCCGGAUUUAUUGGGCGUAAAGCGAGCGCAGGCGGUUUGAUAAGUCUGAAGUUAAAGGCUGUGGCUCAACCAUAGUUCGCUUUGGAAACUGUCAAACUUGAGUGCAGAAGGGGAGAGUGGAAUUCCAUGUGUAGCGGUGAAAUGCGUAGAUAUAUGGAGGAACACCGGUGGCGAAAGCGGCUCUCUGGUCUGUAACUGACGCUGAGGCUCGAAAGCGUGGGGAGCGAACAGGAUUAGAUACCCUGGUAGUCCACGCCGUAAACGAUGAGUGCUAGGUGUUGGAUCCUUUCCGGGAUUCAGUGCCGCAGCUAACGCAUUAAGCACUCCGCCUGGGGAGUACGACCGCAAGGUUGAAACUCAAAGGAAUUGACGGGGGCCCGCACAAGCGGUGGAGCAUGUGGUUUAAUUCGAAGCAACGCGAAGAACCUUACCAGGUCUUGACAUCCCGAUGCUAUUUCUAGAGAUAGAAAGUUACUUCGGUACAUCGGUGACAGGUGGUGCAUGGUUGUCGUCAGCUCGUGUCGUGAGAUGUUGGGUUAAGUCCCGCAACGAGCGCAACCCCUAUUGUUAGUUGCCAUCAUUCAGUUGGGCACUCUAGCGAGACUGCCGGUAAUAAACCGGAGGAAGGUGGGGAUGACGUCAAAUCAUCAUGCCCCUUAUGACCUGGGCUACACACGUGCUACAAUGGUUGGUACAACGAGUUGCGAGUCGGUGACGGCGAGCUAAUCUCUUAAAGCCAAUCUCAGUUCGGAUUGUAGGCUGCAACUCGCCUACAUGAAGUCGGAAUCGCUAGUAAUCGCGGAUCAGCACGCCGCGGUGAAUACGUUCCCGGGCCUUGUACACACCGCCCGUCACACCACGAGAGUUUGUAACACCCGAAGUCGGUGAGGUAACCUUUUGGAGCCAGCCGCCUAAGGU
This 1424-nucleotide ribosomal RNA is filed under the name Streptococcus thermophilus. Its description in RNAcentral is "bacterial SSU rRNA". It matches the Rfam family "Bacterial small subunit ribosomal RNA". Lineage: Bacteria; Bacillati; Bacillota; Bacilli; Lactobacillales; Streptococcaceae. The record is from RNAcentral.